This 4111-nucleotide long non-coding RNA is filed under the name Homo sapiens (human). RNAcentral describes it as "HSALNT0342151". Lineage: Eukaryota; Metazoa; Chordata; Mammalia; Primates; Hominidae. The record is from RNAcentral.
CUUGGGACACACCAUUUGAGUGUUUCAGAGCUGAAAUGAGAAGGACAUUCUAUUUUUGACCAGGGAUAUGGGAAACGUGUCAAUCUCUGUGUGAGGGUGAAGAACGCACUGAGACAGCCAGAAGAGACAUUUCUUAGCUCCCAGAUGGCACUUCUGGACCUGCGUGGGGAGUGGAGGAACUCACCACCUGAAAGGAAGAACACAGGCCUGGCUGGCUUUACCACCUGCUAAGUGUAGAGCCCUAGGGCCUUAAGCGAACAUAAGCUGCAGCCAAGGACUGGUUAUGGUAAGCCUUGGGCAACACCCAAUGCUGUGGUGACUUUGGGUCUGAUCCAGCACAGUGCUAGUGGUGGUGGCCACAAGGGUGCUUGGGUCACUCCACUGCCAGCUCCAGGUGGCUCAGAACAGAGAGAGAGGCUCUGUUUGGGAGAAAGUAAGGAAAGAGAACAAGAGUCUCAGUCUGGUAAUCCACAGAAUUCUUCUAAAUCUUAUCCAAGACCAUCAAGGCAGUACCUCUAUGAGUCUGGAGGAACCACUGCAUUAUUGGGCAUGGGGUGGCCCCUAAAGCACAUACAGCUUAGAUCACAACUCCCAAGUCCUUCUGAAUAUAUGGAAAGCCUUCCCAAGGAGGAUGGGUACAAACAAGCCCAGACUGAGAAGACUACAAUGAAUACCUAACUCUUCAAUGCCCAAACACAGACAAAUAUCUACAAGUGUCAUGACCAUCCAGGAAAGCAUGACCUCACCAAAUGAACUAAAUAAGGCACUAGGGACCAAUCCUGGAGAAACGGAUAUGUGACCUUUCAGACAGAGAAUUCAAAAUAGCUGUUUUGAGGAGACUCAAAGAAAAAUCAAGAUAACACAAAGAAGGAAUUCAGAAUUCUAUCAGACAAAUUUAGUAGAGAUUGAAAUAACUAAAAUGAAUAAAGCAGAAAUUCUGGAAUUUGGCAUACUGAAGAAUUCAUCAGAGUCUUUUAAUAGGAGAAUUGAUCAAGCAGAAGAGGAAUUAGUGAGCUUGAAGAUAGAGUAUUUGAAAAUACAAAGUUAGAGGAAACAACCACAAAAAAGAAUAAAAAAGCAAUGAAGCAUACCUGCGGGAUCUAGAAAAUAGCUGCAAAAGGGCAAAUCUAAGAGUUGUUGGCCUUAAAGAGAAGGUAGAGAAAAAGACGGGUAGAAAGUUUAUUCAAAGGGAUAAUAACAGGGAACUUCCCAAACCUAGAGAAAGAUACCCAUAUCAAAUACAAGAAGGUUAUAGAACACCAAGCAGAUUUAACUCAAAAGACUGCCUCAAGGCAUUUAAUAAUCAAACUCCCAAAGGUCAAGGAUAAAGAAAGGACCCUAAUAGCAGCAAGAGAAAAGAAACAAACAACAUACAAUGGAGCUCCCAUAUGUCUGGCAGCAGACUUUUCAGUGCAAACCUUAUAGGCCAGAAGAGAGGGGCAUGACGUAAUUAAGUGCUAAAAGAAAAAGAAAACUAACCUAGAUUAGUGUAUCUGGUGAAAAUAUUCUUCAAACGUGAAGGAAAACUAAAGACUUCCCCAGACAAACAAAAGUGGAGAGAUUUCAUCAACACCACACCUAUCCUACUACAAAUGCUAAAGGGAGUACUUCAGUCAGAAAGAAAAGAACAUUAAUGAGCAAUAUAAAAUCAUCGGAAGCUACAAAACUCACUGGUAAUAGUAAGCACAAAGAAAAACAAAGAAUAUUGUAACACUGUAAUUAUGGUGUGUAAACUACUCAUGCCUUAAGUAGAAAGAUGAAAAGAUGAAACAAUUGAAAGGAAUAACUAGAACUUUUUAAGACAUAGGCAGUAUAGUAAGAUAUAAAUACAAACAACAAACAGUUAAAAAGUGGGAGGAUAAAGUUAAAGUGUAGAGCUUUUAUUCAUUUUCUCUUUGCUUGUUUAUGCAAUGAGUAUUCAGUUGUCAUCAGUUUAAAAUAAUGGGUUAUAAAAUACUAUUUGCAAGCCUCACGGUAACAUACAUAAUAACAUACGAUGGCUACAAAAAAAUAAAAAGCAAGAAACUAAAUUAUAUCACCAGAGGAAAAAACUUUCACUAAAAGAAAGACAGGAGGAAAAUUAAAAAGGAAGAGAAGGCCACAAAACAACCAGAAAACAAAUAACAAAAUGGCAGGAGUAAGUACUUCUUUAUCAAUAAUUACAUUGAAUGUAAAUUGACUAAAUGUACCCAAUGAAAAGAUCCAUUGAUCUGUCACCUACAAGAAACACAAAUAAAGAUAACUAUAAAGACACACAUAGACUGAAAAUAAAGGGAAGAAAAAAGAUAUUCCAUGCAAAUGGAAACAAAAAAAGAGUAAGAAUAGUUAUAUCAGACAAAAUAGAUUUCAAGACAAAAACUAUAGGAAGAGACAAAGAAGGUCGCUGUAUAAUGAUAAAGGGGUCAAUUUAGCAAGAGGAUAUAACAUUUUAAAUAUAUAUGCACCCAACACCGGAGCACUCAGAGAUAUAAAGCAAAUAUUAUUAGAGCUAAAGAGAAAGAUAGGCUCCAAUACAAUCAUAGUUAAGAGACUUCAACACUCCAUUUUCAGCAUUGGACAGAUCUUCCAGACAGAAAAUCGACAAAGAAACAUUGGACUUAAUUUUUACUAUAGACCAAAUGGACCUAAUAGAUAUUUACGAACAUUUCAUCCAGUGGCUGCAGAAUAAACAUUGUUUUCCUCAGCACAUGGAUCAUUCUCAAGGAUAGGCCAUAUGUUAGGUCACAAAACAAGUCUUAAAAUGUUUUAAAAAGUUGAAAUCAUAUCAAGCAUCUUCUCUGACCACAAUGGAAUAAAACUGAAAAUCAAUAACAACAGAAAUUUUGGAAACCAUACGAGUACGUGGAAACUAAACAACAUGCUCCUGAAUGACCAGUGGGUCAAUAAAGAAAUUAUAAGAAGGAAAUUGAAAAUCUUCUUGAAACAAAUGAUAAAGGAAACACAAAAUACCAAAACCUAUGAGAUACAGCAAAAGCAGUACCAAGAGAGAAGAUUACAGCUAUACGUGCUGGCAUCAAAGAAGAAGAAAAACUUCAAAUAAACAACCUAAUGAAUUAAAUUAAAUUAAAGAAUUUGAAAAGCAAAAGCAAACCAAGCCCUAAAUUAGUAGAAGAAAAGGAAUAAUAAAGAUCAGAGCAGAAAUAAAUGAAAUAAAAAAGAAGGAAACAAUACAAAAGAUCAAUGAAACAAAGAUGGUUUUUUGAAAAGUUAAACAAAGUGACAAAACUUCUGCCAAAAUAACUGAGAAAAAAGAGAAGAUCCAAACAAAUAAAAUUGCAGAUGAAGAGGAGACAUUACAACUGAUACUGCAGAAAUUCACAGGAUCAUUAGAUGCCAAUAAAGUUGAAAACCUAGAAGAAAUGGUUAAAUUCCUAGAUGCAUAAAACCUACCAAGAUUGAACCAUGAAGAAAUCCAAAACUGGAAUAGACCAAUAACAAGUAAUGAAUUCAAAGCUGUAAUAAAAACUCUGUCAGUAAAGAAAAGCCCAGGACCUAAUGGCUUCACUGCUGAAUUCUAUCAAACAUUUAAAGAAGAACUAAUACCAAUUCUACUCAAACUAUUAUGAAAAAUAGAAGAGAAGGGAAUACUUCCAAACUCAUUCUGAGGUCAGUAUUACUCUGAUACCAAAAUCAGACAGAUACAUCAAUAAAAGAAAACUAACUACAGGCCAAUAUCUCUGAUGAAUAUUGAUGCAAAAACCCUCAACAAAAUACUAGCAAAUUGAAUUCAACAAAACAUUGGAAAGAUCAUUCAUCAUGACUGAGUAGAAUUUAUCCUUAGUAUUCAAGGAUGGUUCAACAUAUGCAAACCAAUCAAUGUGAUACAUCAUAUCAACAGAAUAAAGGAUUAAAAAACCCAUAUGAUCAUUUCAACAUCCCUUCAUUAUAAAAAAUAUUCAAAAAACUGGAUACAGAAGGAACAUACCUUAACAUAAUAAAAGCCAUAUAUGGCAAAAGCAACCUAAGUGUUCAUUAACAGAUGAAUCAAUAAAGAAAAUGUAGUACUUACAUACGAUGUAAUACUACUAUUCAGCCAUAAAAAGAAUGAGAUUCUGUCAUUUGCAACAACAUAGAUGGAACUGGAGGUCAUUAUGUUAAGUGAAAUAAAACA